Molecule: non-coding RNA, 21 nt
Filed under: Caenorhabditis elegans
Lineage: Eukaryota; Metazoa; Nematoda; Chromadorea; Rhabditida; Rhabditidae
Source: RNAcentral
UUCCUUCACAUCAUCAUUUAA